GAAUUCGUGGUGUAGCGGUGAAAUGCUUAGAUAUCACGAAGAACUCCGAUUGCGAAGGCAGCUUGCUGGACUGUAACUGACGCUGAUGCUCGAAAGUGUGGGUAUCAAACAGGAUUAGAUACCCUGGUAGUCCACACAGUAAACGAUGAAUACUCGCUGUUUGCGAUAUACAGUAAGCGGCCAAGCGAAAGCGUUAAGUAUUCCACCUGGGGAGUACGCCGGCAACGGUGAAACUCAAAGGAAUUGACGGGGGCCCGCACAAGCGGAGGAACAUGUGGUUUAAUUCGAUGAUACGCGAGGAACCUUACCCGGGCUUGAAUUGCAACUGAAUGAUGUGGAGACAUGUCAGCCGCAAGGCAGUUGUGAAGGUGCUGCAUGGUUGUCGUCAGCUCGUGCCGUGAGGUGUCGGCUUAAGUGCCAUAACGAGCGCAACCCUUAUCGAUAGUUACCAUCAGGUUAUGCUGGGGACUCUGUCGAGACUGCCGUCGUAAGAUGUGAGGAAGGUGGGGAUGACGUCAAAUCAGCACGGCCCUUACGUCCGGGGCUACACACGUGUUACAAUGGGGGGUACAGAAGGCAGCUACACGGCGACGUGAUGCUAAUCCCGAAAGCCUCUCUCAGUUCGGAUUGGAGUCUGCAACCCGACUCCAUGAAGCUGGAUUCGCUAGUAAUCGCGCAUCAGCCACGGCGCGGUGAAUACGUUCCCGGGCCUUGUACACACCGCCCGUCAAGCCAUGAAAGCCGGGGGUACCUGAAGUGCGUAACCGCAAGGAGCGCCCUAGGGUAAAACUGGUGAUUGGGGCUAAGUCGUAACAAGGUAGCCGUACCGGAAGGUGCGGCUG
This 842-nucleotide ribosomal RNA is filed under the name gut metagenome. RNAcentral describes it as "bacterial SSU rRNA". It matches the Rfam family "Bacterial small subunit ribosomal RNA", at positions 664 to 1520 of the family's 1533-position model. The record is from RNAcentral.